Molecule: small nuclear RNA, 103 nt
Organism: Ochotona curzoniae (black-lipped pika)
Lineage: Eukaryota; Metazoa; Chordata; Mammalia; Lagomorpha; Ochotonidae
Source: RefSeq, a predicted model, not a curated record
GCUCGCUUCAGCAGCAUAUACUAAAAUUGGAAUGACACAGAGAAGAUUAGCAUGGCCCCUACGCAAGGAUAACAUGCAAAUUUGUGAAGCAUUCCAUCAUAAA